UUAAAAAAAAACAGGGUACUAAAAUAUAUUUUAUUAAAAUGAAGUAAACUUUAUAUAUUUUCAGUAUUAUCCUCUUUCAUAUCGACAGAUAUCCAUUCUUCUCAGCUCUCAAAGAAUCUGGCUACCAGCCUGUUCUCCAAGCAAUAAUCCAAGGAUUAAUCAGAGUUGCUGCAUCUAAUGGGCAAGGAUGGUAAUGUUUGUUUCCCUGUAUUCUCGUGACCUAAUGAGAAGUUCAUCAAUGUCAACGGUGCUAUUUGGAACUGCCUCUCAUAGACAAUAGCAAGUUCACUGACGAAAGAGAGACUGAAAAAGCAAGCAAGCCAAAGUGGAGGAAUUGAAAUCUGAAAAUAUCUAGUCCACACCUGGGAGACAAGGAGCUUAAAGAGUUUUGAACCGGAAAAUUACAACCAAUUCAAAGUGAGGACAGACUCUAGAGCAAAAUGGUCUAUUUCCCUUGAAUAUUGCAAAGAAAGCAUUGGUUACAUACAGUAUAUGAAUGUUUAAAGGGUCCAUUUGUGCAAUAGGAGCUUUAACUUCAGUCAUCCUGAUUUUAGGGAUAGGAAGUUUCAGCGAAGGACACUUUGCAGUCCUUUUACUGCCAUACAUAGAAAUGGGAACUGGAUACUUCUUAAAAAGAAGGUGGCACUUUUGCUUUUGAAACAUGAAUGGUGUUGCUGUUACAAGCCUCCAAGCUGUGACUUGGGUACAGUUGCUCUAGGGACAGAAUCAGGGUUGGCUUGUUCCCUGGCAUUUGUGGACAUGUCUUCUGACAGCUUCCCUGUCUUUGUAACUCCUAAUUCUCAGCAAGUCAGAUACAGUGGUACCUCGGGUUACGAACCCCUCUGUUAACUAAC
This is a long non-coding RNA of Python bivittatus (Burmese python), 854 nucleotides long. RefSeq lists it as uncharacterized. The record is from RefSeq and is a predicted model, not a curated record. Lineage: Eukaryota; Metazoa; Chordata; Lepidosauria; Squamata; Pythonidae.